RNAcentral lists this ribosomal RNA (338 nucleotides) under uncultured cyanobacterium. RNAcentral's name for it is "bacterial SSU rRNA". It matches the Rfam family "Bacterial small subunit ribosomal RNA", at positions 118 to 489 of the family's 1533-position model. The record is from RNAcentral. Lineage: Bacteria; Bacillati; Cyanobacteriota.
UGAGAUUGCCUUAGAGGGAUACAUUGGAACGAAUGCUAAUACCCCAUAUGCUUUCGAGUGAAAUGGAUUUAUAUUUAUCCGCCUAGAGAGAAGCUCGCGGCUGAUUAGCUUGUUGGUAAGGUAAGAGCUUACCAAGGCGACGAUCAGUAUCUGGUUUGAGAGGACGAUCAGACACACUGGNACUGAGACACGGUCCAGACUCCUACGGGAGGCAGCAGUGGGGAAUUUUCCGCAAUGGGCGAAAGCNUGACGGAGCAAUACCGCGUGAGGGAAGACUGCCUAUGGGUUGUAAACCUCUUUUUUCAGGGAGGAAUCAAUGACGUGUACCUGAAGNAUAA